Non-coding RNA from Callithrix jacchus (white-tufted-ear marmoset), 1465 nucleotides. The record is from RefSeq and is a predicted model, not a curated record. Lineage: Eukaryota; Metazoa; Chordata; Mammalia; Primates; Cebidae.
CCUUCCUUCCUUCUUUCUUUCUUUCCUUUUUUCUUUCUCUUCUCUCCUUCCUUCCUUCUUUCCUUCCUCCUUCCUUCCUUCCUCUCUCUUUCUUUCUUUUCGAGACAGGCUCUUGCUCUGUCACCCAGGUUGGAGUGCAGUGAUGCAAUAAUGACUCCCUGUAGCCUCAACUUCCCCAGCUUAAGUGCUCCUUCCACCUCAGCCUCCCUAGUAGCCAGGACUACAGGCACACACCACUAUGUCUGGCUAAUUUUUGUAUUUUUUUUUUGUAGAGAUGGGGUUUUGCCAUGUUGCUCAGGCUGAUCUCGAACUCCUGGAUUGAAACGAUCCUCCCCACGAGGCCUCCCAGAAUGCUGGGAUUAUAGGCGUGAGCCACUGUACUGGCCAAGGAUAAUUAUUUCGAAACGGGGUUCACAAACACAUGGAGGCUCCCAGAAGGUGGUGCCCAGGGAGGGCAUGGAAGCUCUGCACCCCUACCCCUACGUUGCCCUAUACAGCUCUUCAUCUGCAUCCUUUGCAGUAUCCUUUAUAAGAAAUCGGUAAAUGAAGCCGCCAGUAGGAAAUCUUGAUGAAGGAAAAGAGAAUUUCAGGCUUCCUGCAUUGUCUCAAAAGAGCCUGGCUGAAAGUCCCAGUGGAGAUGCCUGUAAUUGGCCAACGAGGGCCAGCAGCCGGGCCAGGGAUGCGUGCCAAUAAAUAACUCAAGCAGGCAAAACUCUCGGGGUUUUAUAAUUAUGUGAGAAGACCUAAGAUUUCUGUAAGGCAGGGGUCAGCAAAUUAAAAUUCUCCCAGGAGCCAAGGGCUUGUGAAUGCUUGUUUCUGAUAAUCUUGUUUACGUCCUGGGGUAAAUAAAUCUGUCUUUUGUUCUGUGUUAUUCAACUCUCAGCAAUGUUUGUAAUUAAAGUGGCAGAAGGUGGAGAAAUGAAUAAGUUCUUUAAUGGGCUCUGUUCUGGGUCACAUGUAGUAAGAAAAAAAGGCCCUCAUCAGCAGGGGUUGGGGUGGCCUGCUCUGCCCUGGGAAAUGGUGAUAAAACACUGGGCAGCUGUUGAUCAGGUUGCAAAGGGUAGGGAAUCCAUCAUCGUUAGCAUGAGCAGUGAGCACAGGCUGAGCCCCCACUGUCUGGGGCUCGGGUUCCCCUGAGAUAUGGAGAGAAGCAGAGGGAACGUCUGGUUUCAGAAGUUGCCUCAUGUCAAGAAUCUCCAGGCAGAAGUGUCACUCAUCCUCUGCUUUUCCUCAAGCUCGACUCUGGGGGUUGCCCAGAGGAUGAAACAGAGCAAACAGAAUCCUACCAGACAGUCAGAUAAUCCUGGUUUAUAACAGGGUGUGACAGAAUUAGGUUAAUGAACACACAACACAAAUAAUAACAAUAACAGAUACCACAGCUAAUGCAUGUUGAGCGAGGCACUGUGUGAAGUGCAACAUAUACGUGAUUUCUUUUAUUUUUUCCUUUUUGUUUUUGAGACAGGGU